CUCAGGACGAACGCUGGCGGCGUGCUUACACAUGCAAGUCGAACGGUAAGGUCCUUCGGGGAUACACGAGUGGCGCACGGGUGCGUAACACGUAUGCAACCUACCUUCCAGAGGGGAAUAGUCGCGGGAAACUGCGAAUAAUACCCCGUACGAUCGCGAAGUCGCAUGGCUUUGCGAGGAAAGCUCCGGUGCUGGAAGAUGGGCAUGCGUUCCAUUAGCUAGUUGGUGAGGUAACGGCUCACCAAGGCGACGAUGGAUAGCUGGUCUGAGAGGAUGAUCAGCCACACGGGAACUGAGACACGGUCCCGACUCCUACGGGAGGCAGCAGUGAGGAAUCUUGGUCAAUGGGGGCAACCCUGAACCAGCCAUGCCGCGUGGAGGAUGACGGCCCUCUGGGUUGUAAACUUCUUUAGCUAGGGACUAAUUGCGUGCUAUAGGCACGCUUGCAGGUACCUAGAGAAUAAGCGCCGGCUAACUACGUGCCAGCAGCCGCGGUAAUACGUAGGGCGCAAGCGUUGUCCGGAUUUAUUGGGUUUAAAGGGUGCGUAGGCGGAUAGAUAAGUUCGUGGUGAAAUCGUUCGGCUUAACCGGAUAUCCGCCAUGGAUACUGUUUAUCUUGAGUGUGGUUGAGGAAGUUAGAAUGCGUGGUGUAGCGGUGAAAUGCAUAGAUAUCACGCAGAAUACCAAUUGCGAAGGCAGACUUCUGGGCCAUUACUGACGCUGAGGCACGAAAGCGUGGGGAGCGAACAGGAUUAGAUACCCUGGUAGUCCACGCUGUAAACGAUGAUCACUAGGUGUUCGGUCAUACGGCUGAGUGCCCAAGCGAAAGCGAUAAGUGAUCCACCUGGGGAGUACGUUCGCAAGAAUGAAACUCAAAGGAAUUGACGGGGGCCCGCACAAGCGGUGGAGCAUGUGGUUUAAUUCAAUGAUACGCGAGGAACCUUACCUGGGCUACAAUGCCUCUGAUCGGCGCCGAAAGGUGUUUUCUCUUCGGAGCAGAGUGCAAGGUGCUGCAUGGUUGUCGUCAGCUCGUGCCGUGAGGUGUUGGGUUAAGUCCCGCAACGAGCGCAACCCCUAGCUUUAGUUGCCAGCAUUACGGAUGGGGACUCUAGAGCGACUGCCUCCGCAAGGAGUGAGGAAGGAGGGGACGACGUCAAAUCAUCAUGGCCCUUACGCCCAGGGCGACACACGUGCUACAAUGGACGGUACAGAGGGUAGCAAGCCUGCGAAGGUGAGCCAAUCUCAAAAAGCCGUUCUCAGUUCGGAUCGGAGUCUGCAACUCGACCCCGUGAAGUCGGAAUCGCUAGUAUCGCAGAUCAGCCAUGCUGCGGUGAUACGUUCCCGGGCCUUGUACACACCGCCCGUCAAGCCAUGGAAGCCGGGGGCGCCUGAAGCCAGCCGUCAAAAGCUGUCUAGGGCGAAACUGUAACUGGGGCUAA
This 1439-nucleotide ribosomal RNA is filed under the name uncultured organism. RNAcentral describes it as "bacterial SSU rRNA". It matches the Rfam family "Bacterial small subunit ribosomal RNA". The record is from RNAcentral.